Prunus persica (peach) is the source of this 737-nucleotide long non-coding RNA. RefSeq lists it as uncharacterized. NCBI's taxonomy places the organism in Eukaryota, Viridiplantae, Streptophyta, Magnoliopsida, Rosales, Rosaceae. The record is from RefSeq and is a predicted model, not a curated record. The transcript is spliced from 3 exons.
UAAUGUUCGACAGUCCCAUUGGGUGGCAGUAGAAGUCGACUUUGUGCGACAUACUGUCACUGUCUAUGACUCGUAUUCUGAUUUUACCUCCAACAGUAUGCUUGUCCGAUUCAUGGAGCCUAUUACCCAUACGCUUGCAAAGGUGCUGCAUGAAAUGAGGUUUUAUGAGAAAUCGGAGGUUGAAGCGGUGAAGAGAAAGGGGACUGACAUGUCAAACUUUAACCCAUUCACAAUUUGCAGAAUUUCCGAUGUUCCUCAACAAAGUGAUGGUACUUCAUGUGGCAUUAUGACAGUCAAAUAUAUCGAGUACCUUAGUGCCGGCAUUCCUUUACAUACCAUUGACCCAUCCAAGUUUGGCUACUACCGAUUGAAGCUUGCAAUCGAGGCUUUCAGGGGGGAGGCCUAUGUAUGAGGUGGUCCUUCCAGCUUCAUACCCAUAUUGACAUCUCAGAUUCUGUACAUGUAUGUGAAAGAAGUUGCAGGAUGUUUUGUCGUAUUGUGAAUCUUGAAACUUAGUAUCAGUUUUUGCGUAACAUGGCACAAUUUUUGACAUUUUGCUCACCACGCGAUAAAGUGGGGUGAUUUUGUAGUAGGUUGCAGGGUGUUCAUUUAUGUAACGGAAUUCAACUCUACUUGUCUUCCAUGGUAGAAGGGCUGUAUUCACUUUCCUUUGUUAGAACUAAUUGUUGACAUUCUGUGCUUAACAAAUUCCUGUAAAUCCAUAAUUUGGCACAAGU